This is a non-coding RNA of Marivirga tractuosa DSM 4126, 171 nucleotides long. NCBI's taxonomy places the organism in Bacteria, Pseudomonadati, Bacteroidota, Cytophagia, Cytophagales, Marivirgaceae. The record is from Rfam.
UUUUCCGUGAGGAAUGCAGUGAAGAAAGCGGGACUACAAAAUCCGGUACUGACAAACAGGAACGGCAUACAGAGGCCAGAUAGAGAGGGUAAGCAAGCACAUCUUUGCAAAGCCCGUAACCAGCAAUCUCUAUUAGGUAGAUGUCGCAGGGAUCGGAGGAAGGAAUAUGUC